RNAcentral lists this ribosomal RNA (497 nucleotides) under uncultured bacterium. RNAcentral's name for it is "partial 16S ribosomal RNA". It matches the Rfam family "Bacterial small subunit ribosomal RNA", at positions 28 to 507 of the family's 1533-position model. The record is from RNAcentral.
GAUGAACGCUGGCGGCGUGCCUAAUACAUGCAAGUCGAGCGAACAGACGAUGAGCUUGCUCCUCUGACGUUAGCGGCGGACGGGUGAGUAACACGUGGAUAACCUACCUAUAAUACUGGGAUAACUUCGGGAAACCGGUGCUAAUACCGGAUAAUAUAUUGAACCGCAUGGUUCAAUAGUGAAAGACGGUUUUGCUGUCACUUAUAGAUGGUUCCGCGCCGCAUUAGCUAGUUGGUAAGGUAACGGCUUACCAAGGCAACGAUGCGUAGCCGACCUGAGAGGGUGAUCGGCCACACUGGAACUGAGACACGGUCCAGACUCCUACGGGAGGCAGCAGUAGGGAAUCUUCCGCAAUGGGCGAAAGCCUGACGGAGCAACGCCGCGUGAGUGAUGAAGGUCUUCGGAUCGUAAAACUCUGUUAUUAGGGAAGAACAAAUGUGUAAGUAACUAUGCACGUCUUGACGGUACCUAAUCAGAAAGCCACGGCUAACUACGUG